UGUUUGCAUAGUGUGUGUAUAUAAUGCAGUGUGUUUGUGUAGUGUGUUUAUAUAAUGCACACUACACAAACACACUGCAUUAUAGACACACACUAUACAAAC
Molecule: microRNA precursor, 102 nt
Filed under: Pelobates cultripes (western spadefoot toad)
Lineage: Eukaryota; Metazoa; Chordata; Amphibia; Anura; Pelobatidae
Source: RNAcentral